UACGAAGGGGGCUAGCGUUGCUCGGAAUUACUGGGCGUAAAGGGCGCGUAGGCGGACAGUUUAGUCAGAGGUGAAAGCCCAGGGCUCAACCUUGGAAUUGCCUUUGAUACUGGCUGUCUUGAGUUCGGGAGAGGUGAGUGGAAUGCCGAGUGUAGAGGUGAAAUUCGUAGAUAUUCGGCGGAACACCAGUGGCGAAGGCGACUCACUGGCCCGAUACUGACGCUGA
This 226-nucleotide ribosomal RNA is filed under the name uncultured bacterium. RNAcentral describes it as "partial 16S ribosomal RNA". It matches the Rfam family "Bacterial small subunit ribosomal RNA", at positions 524 to 749 of the family's 1533-position model. The record is from RNAcentral.